This is a long non-coding RNA of Psammomys obesus (fat sand rat), 597 nucleotides long. RefSeq lists it as uncharacterized. Lineage: Eukaryota; Metazoa; Chordata; Mammalia; Rodentia; Muridae. The transcript has 4 exons. The record is from RefSeq and is a predicted model, not a curated record.
GAUGCCAGUGCGCAUGCGCAACGGCGAAUACUGUGUGCCCAAGCGCUUUGCGCCGAGGCUGUAGACGCAUGCGUAGUUGCGCGCAUGAAGCUAACCUGGGUCUGGCGGGCUGGUGGAGUUGUUCCCCAAAUACCAAUGUACUCAGGGCUUCGGGGUGCUUCCUCGCUGCCCCUGCUAUUUUAGGACAAUGUGGAACCUUUGGGACUCCCUGAGUGUGAACCUUGAAGAGCCCAGGAGAGGUCGUGGGAUACCCCAGGGACUGAGUUAGACGGUUGUGAUUCGCAUGUGGAUGGUGGAAAGCUUAACUCUCCUCUGGAAGCUGAAACCUCUGCUCUCAACCACUGAGUCAUAAUGACCAGAAGACUGACUGGCUGGUGGUCCUGGAUUCUAUAAGAAAGACUAAGCAAGCCAGUAAGCAACACCCCUCCAUGGCCUCUGCAUCAGCUCCUGCCGUUUGAGUUCCUGCUUUGGUUUCCCUAAAUGGAUUGUGAUUCAGGAUAUGGAAAUCAAAUAAACCCCUUUCUCCCCAAGUUGCUUUGGUUAUGGUGUUUCAUCAUCAUAAUAGGAGCCCUCACUAGAACAGAUGCUAUGGGGCCU